AUGCAGCCUCUUCCCUGCAAACUCAUGUGUGCAAAGUCACGCACACAACCUCUUCCAUGCAAAGUCACGCAUGCAGUCAUGCACGCAACCUCUUCCAUGCACCCUCUUUCAUGCAAACACAGGUGUGCAGUCAUGCAUGCAAACUCAUGCACGCAACCUCUUCCAUGCAACCUCAUGCAUGCAACCUCUUCCAUGCAACCAAGUCAUGCAUGCAACCUCUUCCAUGCAAACUCAUGCAUGCAACCUCUUCCAUGCAAACUCAUGCAUGCAACCUCUUGCAUACAAAUUCAUGCAUGCAAAGUCAUGCACGCAACCUCUUCCAUGCAACCAGUACAUGCAACCCUUGGGCUCUGGGGAAGGAGACACACAAAUCUGUUYGAGCUCUCUGCAAAAUCCAUCUUUAAUUUCCCACCUGUAGAGCUGCAUAAACCAGUCCCUGGGCAACCGUUUUGCCCCUCCCUCCCCCACCCCCGUGGCAGCCUCAGGGUUAGACUCCCGGCUCCCCAUGCAAAAUCCUUGCAGAGGUGGACAGGUAGAGGCUGAGCUGCAUCCCCAUGUCCCACUCCUCCAGGAGGGGCAGACGGGCAGGGGGAGCGUGGCUGUGCCCCCCGGCACCCCGCAGCAGGGACAUGGGGUGGCACGGUGACCCCCAGCCACCGGGGCUGAGCCCUGCCCUCCACCUCCAAAAGCGGGGGGGGGGGGGGGAACGCGGAGGUGAGGACGAGGCCGUGCCGGAGCGAUAGGCGCAGAUGGCCAUGGCGCACACACACGCCGAGAUACAGGCAGCGAUACGCAGCCCGAGACGCUCUCCCAGCCCGCUCUCUGAUAGCCUCGGUGGCUGCGCUUAUCUGCACCUAUGACACCGGCAGCCUGAAAAGAUUUUUUUUUUUCCUCCUUCGUGUGCACCAGCCUUUCUACUUCUCUUGUGCUGCUUCGCCCUUUUCUUCCCCCCGUUGCAACCGGCGCCAGAUCAGAGCGCCGAGACGUUCCCGGAGACUGACAGCUCGCGCCCAGCCUCCUUCCCCCCCCCAGCCCCC
Molecule: long non-coding RNA, 1037 nt
Filed under: Apteryx haastii (Great spotted kiwi)
Lineage: Eukaryota; Metazoa; Chordata; Aves; Apterygiformes; Apterygidae
Description: lncRNA (ENSAHAG00000015003.1)
Source: RNAcentral